UACAGAGGGUGCAAACGUUGUUCGGAAUUACUGGGCGUAAAGCGCGUGUAGGCGGCGAGGUAAGUCGGGUGUGAAAGCCCACGGCUCAACCGUGGAAGUGCACUCGAAACUGCCCCGCUAGAGUCUCGGAGAGGAAGGCGGAAUGCUCGGUGUAGAGGUGAAAUUCGUAGAUAUCGAGCGGAACACCGGUGGCGAAGGCGGCCUUCUGGACGAUGACUGACGCUGAGACGCGAAAGCGUGGGGAGCAAACAGG
RNAcentral lists this ribosomal RNA (253 nucleotides) under uncultured bacterium. RNAcentral's name for it is "partial 16S ribosomal RNA". It matches the Rfam family "Bacterial small subunit ribosomal RNA", at positions 524 to 776 of the family's 1533-position model. The record is from RNAcentral.